GCCAGCCCGCUCAGCAACUUAAAGGAAUUGACGGGGGCCCGCACAAGCGGUGGAGUAUGUGGUUUAAUUCGAUGCAACGCGAAGAACCUUACCUGGUCUUGACAUCCCGGAGACCCUUAGGAAACUAGGGGGUGCUUCCAUCUGGAAGAAUCUGGAGACAGGUGCUGCAUGGCUGUCGUCAGCUCGUGUCGUGAGAUGUUGGGUUAAGUCCCGCAACGAGCGCAACCCUUGCCUUUAGUUGCCAGCAGUUCGGCUGGGCACUCUAAAGGGACUGCCGGUGUUAAACCGGAGGAAGGUGGGGAUGACGUCAAGUCCUCAUGGCCUUUAUGACCAGGGCUACACACGUACUACAAUGGCCGAUACAAAGGGCAGCGACACUGCGAGGUGAAGCCAAUCCCGUAAAAUCGGUCUCAGUCCGGAUUGGAGUCUGCAACUCGACUCCAUGAAGUUGGAAUCGCUAGUAAUCGUGAAUCAGAAUGUCACGGUGAAUACGUUCCCGGGCCUU
RNAcentral lists this ribosomal RNA (505 nucleotides) under uncultured Desulfobulbus sp. RNAcentral describes it as "bacterial SSU rRNA". It matches the Rfam family "Bacterial small subunit ribosomal RNA", at positions 903 to 1382 of the family's 1533-position model. The record is from RNAcentral. Lineage: Bacteria; Pseudomonadati; Thermodesulfobacteriota; Desulfobulbia; Desulfobulbales; Desulfobulbaceae.